CCUACGGGGGGCAGCAGUGGGGAAUAUUGGACAAUGGGCGAAAGCCUGAUCCAGCCAUGCCGCGUGUGUGAAGAAGGCCUUCGGGUUGUAAAGCACUUUCAGUGGGGAAGAAAGCCUUGGGGCCAAUACCCUCGAGGAAGGACAUCACCCACAGAAGAAGCACCGGCUAACUCCGUGCCAGCAGCCGCGGUAAUACGGAGGGUGCGAGCGUUAAUCGGAAUUACUGGGCGUAAAGCGCGCGUAGGCGGUCUGAUAAGCCGGUUGUGAAAGCCCCGGGCUCAACCUGGGAACGGCAUCCGGAACUGUCAGGCUAGAGUGCAGGAGAGGAAGGUAGAAUUCCCGGUGUAGCGGUGAAAUGCGUAGAGAUCGGAAGGAAUACCAGUGGCGAAGGCGGCCUUCUGGACUGACACUGACGCUGAGGUGCGAAAGCGUGGGUAGCAAACAGGAUUAGAUACCCUUGUAGUC
RNAcentral lists this ribosomal RNA (465 nucleotides) under Vreelandella stevensii. Its description in RNAcentral is "partial 16S ribosomal RNA". It matches the Rfam family "Bacterial small subunit ribosomal RNA", at positions 338 to 795 of the family's 1533-position model. Lineage: Bacteria; Pseudomonadati; Pseudomonadota; Gammaproteobacteria; Oceanospirillales; Halomonadaceae. The record is from RNAcentral.